This 417-nucleotide ribosomal RNA is filed under the name uncultured microorganism. RNAcentral describes it as "bacterial SSU rRNA". It matches the Rfam family "Bacterial small subunit ribosomal RNA", at positions 9 to 424 of the family's 1533-position model. The record is from RNAcentral.
GAGUUUGAUCGUGGCUCAGAUUGAACGCUGGCGGCAUGCCUUACACAUGCAAGUCGAACGGCAGCAUGAUCUAGCUUGCUAGAUUGGUGGCGAGUGGCGAACGGGUGAGUAAUACAUCGGAACGUGCCCUGUAGUGGGGGAUAACUAGUCGAAAGAUUAGCUAAUACCGCAUACGACCUGAGGGUGAAAGUGGGGGACCGCAAGGCCACAUGCUAUAGGAGCGGCCGAUGUCUGAUUAGCUAGUUGGUGGGGUAAAGGCCCACCAAGGCGACGAUCAGUAGCUGGUCUGAGAGGACGAUCAGCCACACUGGGACUGAGACACGGCCCAGACUCCUACGGGAGGCAGCAGUGGGGAAUUUUGGACAAUGGGCGAAAGCCUGAUCCAGCAAUGCCGCGUGUGUGAAGAAGGCCUCGGUU